UACGGAGGGUGCGCGCGUUAUCCGGAAUUACUGGGUUUAAAGGGUGCGUAGGCGGCUUUGUAAGUCAGGAGUGAAGGUUUGCGGCUCAACCGUAAAAUUGCUUUUGAUACUGCAUAGCUAGAAUUAGGAUGAGGUCAGCGGAAUGUGGCAUGUAGCGGUGAAAUGCAUAGAUAUGCCAUAGAACACCAAUUGCGAAGGCAGCUGGCUAGACCUGGAUUGACGCUGAGGAACGAAAGCGUGGGUAGCGAACAGG
This 253-nucleotide ribosomal RNA is filed under the name uncultured bacterium. RNAcentral describes it as "partial 16S ribosomal RNA". It matches the Rfam family "Bacterial small subunit ribosomal RNA", at positions 524 to 776 of the family's 1533-position model. The record is from RNAcentral.